Molecule: long non-coding RNA, 3918 nt
Organism: Canis lupus familiaris (dog)
Lineage: Eukaryota; Metazoa; Chordata; Mammalia; Carnivora; Canidae
Exons: 4
Source: RefSeq, a predicted model, not a curated record
UCCUCCGCUCAUACCAGUAACUGGCUCGGCCACCCUCUCCCACCUCCACCCCGGUGUCCGUGGGAGCCCUGCUGGGAUUGGGGUGCUCCUGGACCCCUGUGGCCCCUGCAGGCAGUGAUGGGCGUGCCUGCGUCAGAAGAGACACGUCGGGGUUGCCGAACCGGCAGAGAAUCGUGUUCUGCACGGUUGCUUGUCGCCCAGGAGCGACUCAGCACAGCACCAGCUCUUGCUCAGGCUCGCUUAGCUCCGGGGCUUCUGCUGGGGCAGAGGGGCCCUGCCUGCAGUGGCCCUGCCACCCGGAGCCCUGUCUCUCCCCACCGGGCGGCCUCAUUGGCACCCACCUGCUGGCUCGUCCGGGGCCCCCGGGGCUCCGGCCAAGGUACCAGGCUGGCCCCCGAGAUGCCGGUGGCGGUCUUCGGUGGGCGGGCGUCCAUGAGGGGCAGGUGGGCUCUUCCCCUGCGGCCUCCAGGGACUUACAUGCUUUACUGUCCCAUCGUCAGGGACCCACCUGCCCGACUACCCUGUGGUGCUAAUGCGACGGCCGGAGCUGUAAAACCCAAACAGCCCCCGAGCAUACACACCUCCCUCGUUUUUCACCGAGAAAACCCCCGGAUCUCAGAGUAAACCUGGGGCAAAUUCGCUGCCAGCUAUGUCCCCACGGCCUUCGCUGCCCACCUGCUGUCCUGAAGCAGACGUACACUCUGGCACCUGCCUCUGCUGGGAGGAAACCGCAGGAUCCGGCCACACCGCACAGGCCGGGACUCCUCAGAGGCCACCAUCAGGUCGGGGCUCCUGGGGCCCUGCCACCUGCCGAGCGACGCACGGUGACACACAUCCAGUGGGGAAGCUGGCAGCUGCUCCCUCUCUGGUCUCGGGUCCAUGGCCUCUGUCGUCACCCAAGACGUGGUCAGCAUUUUGCUCCCAGAAUUAUCUGACGCCUUCCACCGUCGGGGUGGUGGUGUGCAGAACUCACAGCCCCCCACUAAGAUUCUUUUUUUUUUCUAAAGAUUUUAAGUAAUCUCUGCACCCAGUGUGGGGCUUGAACUCACAACCCUGAGAUCAACAGUCAUGUACUGAAAAAAAAAGAGAGAGUCAUGUGCUUCACAGACAGAGCCAGCCAGGCGCCCCCAAGUCCCUCCAAGAUUCUUGUCCCUGUUGCUGAGCUGGCACUUACUCAGGUGCUGCUGUGCAGGGAUUUGCAGAUGAGCAGCCGAGGCCCUUGGAUCCCGGGUGUGGGCAAGCGGGGCAGGAGGGCAGGGAGACUGAGGCCUGAGGAGGACUUGCUCAGGAGAGGGAAUGGGGGUCCUGUAGGGCAGAGAGGGCGUGCCAGCUGGGCCCCCACCUACGACAAGCCCUCAGCCCCACAAGAAUUCUGCGCCGGGUUGGAGGAUCCCCGGGGCCCUGGCGGGGAGCCCAGCCUGGCCGGCACCUCGACUGCAGUCUGUAGGGACAGGCCUCCCAGGCCUCCGAGGGGCUGAUGGUGCGGCAGCUCCAGGGGUUGGGUGGGUGGCAGUGCGCAGGCAGCCGUGGGUGGCCCCCAAGCGGCCUCACGGGCCCAGCCAGCGGGGUCUCCAGGGCACUGGCGGCAGGCGGGGGGCAGUGUCCUCUGCCGAGGGGACCGCAGGACCACACUCCCUGCGAAUCCUCACACUCGUGUCUGCAACGGCCGUUCAGGUUCUGGCCUCUUCCUGCCGACCGGGCCCAGGGGUCACGGCGUUCCUAGGGUGAGGGCUGUGACUUCCCGCAAACCCGAGAGUCUCCCACGUUGUGGCAGUGCAAAGACAGAAGUCCCAGCCGCAUGUGAAGGGGAUGCUUCAGGAGAAAGAAGACUUUCCCCCGAGCGGAGAAACGGACUUCUCCUCGUUAUCCCAGCUGCUCCCGAAGCCCUGGCUCCUUCCUGGGCCUUCCCUGCGCAGCCGAAGGAUGAGCCCCGUUUCCUAGCACCUCACCCCGCAGGCCCUGCUGCCCACCCCCACCCACCACCACCCCCCAGUCCCCGGGGUCCAGGCCCACCCUCUUCUCAAGGCUUUCACGGUCUCACGUGGAGGGCGGGGAGACAGGUGCCCUGGCACCCGAGCCCCAGGUUUGCCUUGGCUCCUUCCUCUCACCCCAGAGUCACAGUCCUUAGAAAGAAAGCAGCGUGGCUCCCGCACAAGUGAUGCACAGGGAGCUGCGACCGCCCAGCCGGGUGCCCCCGCGGCCCCUCCUCCGACACCGCACACGCCCUGGGAGCCACGUGUAGGGAGAAAGCCCCCAGUGUGCACGAGGCCAUCGCUUCCCGAAGAGGUGUUGCCAUCAUAAGACACGCUCCUCCUCAACUCCCAGGAAUCACUUGGGAGAUGCUGGGGUUUGCCAGGGGCCGCGCCCUGUGAACCCUGGUAUAUUUGUGAUGAGCCUACGCAGGCCAAGGGCAUCCCCGGGGGAGGCAGGAGGAGCUGUGUCAGCUGCUGCCCUGUCCUUUCCAGAUUUUAUGUAUUUAUUCAUGAGACACAGAGAGAGGCAGAGACCCAGGCAGAGGGAGAAGCAGGCUUCCUGCGGGGAGUCCGAGGCAGGACUCGAUCUCAGGACCCAGGGUCACGCCCUGAGCCAAAGGCAGAUGCUGGAUCGCUGAGCCCCCCGGGGCCCUGUACUGUAUUUCUCACAUGGGUCGUGGCCGUGGACUGUCCACUCACUGGCUUACAGGACCGAACUCAACUCAUUUUCCUGAAGGGACUUCCGGAUCAACCCAGGUCGCCGAGGCGGGUGCAGCGUGACAUCACUGUUGCCAACUGCCAGUCCAUAGGGUAAACAAGCACAGAAGACGCAGUGGACCUCUGGUCGCUCAGAUGGGCCACCCGUGAUGUCACGAGGCCUGUGCUGUGUGGGUCAGGACGGAGCCCUGCCUCUUGGCACCGUCUCCUCAGUGAGGACCCUGGGUUGGAACUUGGCCACCUGGGGACCUCGCUCGGCUUCACUGACAGGUGGGAGGAGGGUGCACCUGCCCUGUUUUCUCACAUUGGACUCCGGUGGCCGUCCCCAGCAUUCCCGCAAAGGGCCCACGAGGGCCUUGUGUUCGCCCCUCCAUCACGCAUGAAUGUCACACCUUUGGCUGCUUCCCCCGUCCGUGUCUCCCUCCAAGGCCUGGAGUGUCUGACAACCCGCUUCCGCGGCCCUCCACGCUGGGUCUGCACCAGAGGUGUUGGGGGCCUGGCCCUCCACCGCCCCACCUCGGGAGCCCCGCGCAUGGCAGCUCCUGCGAACCCUGCCCCAGCUCUGCCUCUGCUUCCCAAUCCAUCGAACGUCUCUCUCCGAGUCCUUUCAGCUCUCUGGGGAUGAAACAAAGAAUAAACUUAGGUACGGAUGGAUCCCAGGGUUGAUUCGACACCCAGGCAGUGGUGAGCACGCUCGAGCGCCGUGGGAAGGUCCCAAACGCUCCCGCGCCACGGGCACAGCCUCGACAUGUCACCAGCUUCCGGGGCUCGGGGGCCGUCGAUGUCUUCCCCGGACUCUCGAGGAACGCAGUUUAGUCUUCCAACUUCCUGUCUCACAAAUGACAGGGUCGGUGUCUCUUCCUCACCCCCUGCCCUCGGCAAAAUUAAUGCAUCUCAAGACAGGAACAAGUGGGCAUUUGCUGCGGAGCCUUAAACACUACAUUUGAAAACGUAAAUUUCAUCCUCAAGGUCCGAAUUUCCCCUAAGGGUCUUGUUUAUCACAACGGCCACACUCUCCAGUCACCACCCACCUAAGCUAAGUGUUAAUACAAGCAAGUAAGUACAAAUUUAUUUGUGCUAGUAAAUUUAAGCUCUUCUUCUGAUAUAUUUGUGGAUUAAAAAUAAAAUCACAAUGACAACGCAAAACUAUCUUCACAUACUAAUGAAAAAACUAGGAGAGGAGGGAAGGGGGAUGGGGUGACUGGAUGACGGGCACUAAGGAGGACAC